RNAcentral lists this ribosomal RNA (467 nucleotides) under uncultured bacterium. RNAcentral's name for it is "partial 16S ribosomal RNA". It matches the Rfam family "Bacterial small subunit ribosomal RNA", at positions 28 to 507 of the family's 1533-position model. The record is from RNAcentral.
GACGAACGCUGGCGGCGUGCUUAACACAUGCAAGUCGAACGGAAAGGCCUCUUUCGGGGGGUACUCGAGUGGCGAACGGGUGAGUAACACGUGAGUAACCUGCCCUUGACUUUGGGAUAACUUCAGGAAACUGGGGCUAAUACCGGAUAGGAGCUCCUGCUGCCUGGUGGGGGUUGGAAAGUUUCGGCGGUUGGGGGUGGACUUGCGGCUUAUCCGCUUGUUGGUGGGGUAGUGGCUUACCCAGGCUUUGACGGGUAGCCGGCCUGAGGGGGUGACAGGCCACAUUGGGACUGAGAGACGGCCCAGACUCCUACGGGAGGCAGCAGUGGGGAAGAUUGCACAAUGGGUGGAAGCCUGAUGCAGCAACGCCGUGUGCGGGAUGACGGCCUUCGGGUUGUAAACCGCUUUCGCUCAUGACGAAGCUUUGUGUGACGGUAGUGGGUAAAGAAGCACCGGCUAACUACGUG